Molecule: long non-coding RNA, 1319 nt
Organism: Tarenaya hassleriana
Lineage: Eukaryota; Viridiplantae; Streptophyta; Magnoliopsida; Brassicales; Cleomaceae
Exons: 2
Source: RefSeq, a predicted model, not a curated record
AACAAGCGAUCAAGGCCCAACUAUCAUCGGGCUAUAAGCCCAUAACAUGACCCCAUACGAGAUUUCGUUAAGAUCCAUGGCCGAAGUCUGACAUGGCGAUGAUGAUGACUCGUGACCGAAAUUAAGGAUUUACGAGACAAAGAUGAUGAUGACGUCAUCUUAACUAAUGGGACCACACAAGUCAUGAUUCAGGGUUUUUUUCGGCAUAUUUCUUGAAUAACAUCUGCCAUCCGGGGACUCAUACGUCGCCGUUUAGCUCAAGUGCUUGGAAGAAUUCCUAUGCGUGCUGCCCAUACUGUAACCUUCUUCACCGGUCCAACAAAAAAUUUUCGAACCCGCUCGGCGGAGAUGGCGUCAUCGGCUCAACCGAUUGCCUCUUCCGCCGGUGAGGGCAUAUCCGCCACCGCAUUCGAAUUCUCCGGUGCAUCAGCCGCUUCCUUUACCUUCUCCGGUCGCUGCCUUUUUCAAACUUCGAGGGUUUGGUAAAUGGCUCUAUCGAUUCCGAAGAGCCUGCGAAAGUCCCUUUUAGGAUCCUAAUACUGCAACCGCUGAAGAAGUCGCCUGUUGACUUCUUUUCUUUUCUUCUUCUGAGAUCAGUUGGACAAGAAUAUGAUAUACACGGUCACCAUCAUCGACAUUCCUCCGCAAGUCAAGCGGAAAAUUCAAUAUAAUAUUGGUUGUUAGUUUAAGAUGUCUGUAGCUAAACAGAGACAUGAGCUCCUGACAUCAAAAUAUCCAGGUACUCCGAGACUGUGCUUGCUUGAUCAAUGAUUUCUUACUACUUAGGUGAGGAAUAAGCUCAGAUUGGGUGCAAACGACUUCUAGAAAACCUAAGUCAUCAUCUUUCGAGCAUGACAGACAGUAUACAUGUCUCUGAUGAUGUAUGAUAGAGGAACAGAGGUGCCCACCGUUGGUGGCUAUCCGUAUUUGUUCUGACCUCGGGAUCCUUCUAUGUCAUGACUCUCCUCGCUAUCACCAUCCCUUAUAUUUCGCCUUACACUUUGAGGCCCUUCCUCUUCCGCCACGUGCUUCGCUAUCCCUAUUCAUUUUUGGUGUUCUUUGCCGAAUGGAAGCAUGGUGGUGAUGACGAUUAUGCGGCCUGUUUGCCGCUGGUGCAACCCCAAGAUUGAGGAAUGAUCCCUCAUUCAAGGUUUGAAGGUGGUUCUGUUCAGAAGGUUUUGCUUUCUAGUUUCCAUAUCUUAGCUUUUUUUUUUUUUUUUUGGUUAACUAAUAUCUUAGCAUGGAUAGCGAUGUACAUGAUCUUCUAAUCUCUGUAAUGACAACUGUAAUCCAUCAGUGAGCAUAGCGGGGAUAGCUCA